UGCUAUACAUGCAAGUAGAACGCUGAAGAGAGGAGCUUGCUCUUCUUGGAUGAGUUGCGAACGGGUGAGUAACGCGUAGGUAACCUGCCUUGUAGCGGGGGAUAACUAUUGGAAACGAUAGCUAAUACCGCAUAACAAUGGAUGACACAUGUCAUUUAUUUGAAAGGGGCAAUUGCUCCACUACAAGAUGGACCUGCGUUGUAUUAGCUAGUAGGUGAGGUAAUGGCUCACCUAGGCGACGAUACAUAGCCGACCUGAGAGGGUGAUCGGCCACACUGGGACUGAGACACGGCCCAGACUCCUACGGGAGGCAGCAGUAGGGAAUCUUCGGCAAUGGGGGCAACCCUGACCGAGCAACGCCGCGUGAGUGAAGAAGGUUUUCGGAUCGUAAAGCUCUGUUGUAAGUCAAGAACGGGUGUGAGAGUGGAAAGUUCACACUGUGACGGUAGCUUACCAGAAAGGGACGGCUAACUACGUGCCAGCAGCCGCGGUAAUACGUAGGUCCCGAGCGUUGUCCGGAUUUAUUGGGCGUAAAGCGAGCGCAGGCGGUUUGAUAAGUCUGAAGUUAAAGGCUGUGGCUCAACCAUAGUUCGCUUUGGAAACUGUCAAACUUGAGUGCAGAAGGGGAGAGUGGAAUUCCAUGUGUAGCGGUGAAAUGCGUAGAUAUAUGGAGGAACACCGGUGGCGAAAGCGGCUCUCUGGUCUGUAACUGACGCUGAGGCUCGAAAGCGUGGGGAGCGAACAGGAUUAGAUACCCUGGUAGUCCACGCCGUAAACGAUGAGUGCUAGGUGUUGGAUCCUUUCCGGGAUUCAGUGCCGCAGCUAACGCAUUAAGCACUCCGCCUGGGGAGUACGACCGCAAGGUUGAAACUCAAAGGAAUUGACGGGGGCCCGCACAAGCGGUGGAGCAUGUGGUUUAAUUCGAAGCAACGCGAGAACCUUACCAGGUCUUGAC
Molecule: ribosomal RNA, 955 nt
Filed under: Streptococcus thermophilus
Lineage: Bacteria; Bacillati; Bacillota; Bacilli; Lactobacillales; Streptococcaceae
Description: bacterial SSU rRNA
Rfam family: Bacterial small subunit ribosomal RNA
Source: RNAcentral